RNAcentral lists this long non-coding RNA (239 nucleotides) under Theobroma cacao (cacao). RNAcentral's name for it is "long non-coding RNA (TCAC_LNC002594)". Lineage: Eukaryota; Viridiplantae; Streptophyta; Magnoliopsida; Malvales; Malvaceae. The record is from RNAcentral.
UUUACAGCUUGCUAUUCCAUCACAAAUUGACGGCCUUUCUUAUGUUGAAUUCGAUUCUGACCACAUCCCAAAAGUAACGAGACACUAUUGGGGAAGCGACAGGGCACCAUCCAUCUCAUUCAUCUGUAUUUUAGAAGCUUUCAGGUGAUGCUACGUCCAUAAUUGACCGAAUUCUCCAAGGUGAUGAUCAUGUCGUGGUUGAGUGGGUAUGCCGUAUAUGCCACUAUCCAAGGUAUGGC